This 497-nucleotide ribosomal RNA is filed under the name uncultured bacterium. RNAcentral's name for it is "partial 16S ribosomal RNA". It matches the Rfam family "Bacterial small subunit ribosomal RNA", at positions 28 to 507 of the family's 1533-position model. The record is from RNAcentral.
GAUGAACGCUGGCGGCGUGCCUAAUACAUGCAAGUCGAGCGAACAGACGAGGCGCUUGCUCCUCUGACGUUAGCGGCGGACGUGUGAGUAACACGUGGAUCACCUCCCUAUAAGACUGGGAUAACUUCGGGAAACCGGCGCUAAUACCGUAUAAUAUAUUGAACCGCAUGGUUCAAUAGUGAAAGUCGGUUUUGCUGUCACUUAUCGAUGGUUCCGCGCCGCAUUAGCUAGUUGGUAAGGUAACGGCUUACCAAGGCAACGAUGCGUAGCCGACCUGAGAGGGUGAUCGGCCACACUGGAACUGAGACACGGUCCAGACUCCUACGGGAGGCAGCAGUAGGGAAUCUUCCGCAAUGGGCGAAAGCUUGACGGAGCAACGCCGCGUGAGUGAUGAAGGUCUUCGGAUCGUAAAACUCUGUUAUUAGGGAAGAACAAAUGUGGAAGUAACUAUGCAGGUCGUGACGGUACCUAAUCAGAAAGCCACGGCUAACUACGUG